UGAGCAUAAAAUGAACACUUUAAGAGAACGCUUUUGCAGUCAGUAGACACAAACACACUCCUCCACAAGACUGGGGAAUGUUUGUUUGGUAAAGAAAAAACCUACAGACACUCUCCUCUCUACGAGGUGUUGCAGAGUUUUACGGAAUUUCAGUCCGGAUUUAUACUUUGUCCCUCGCUCAUGCUUCUCCCGUCUCAGGCUGAUAGCAGUCCACAGUAGACCUAUAAAAUGUCAGUCCCAUCAUGUGAUAUAGUGCCUGCUGUGCUGUCAGCCAUCGCAGAGGAUUACUGGCAGUGUUGUGAGUUUUCUGGCGGCCGGCUGCAGCCAAAUGAGGAGGAGGAAAUGGAAGUGGAGAAGCUGCAGAUGGGUUCUGCCAGGUCAUGUCACCCCAUGUCACUGAAAUGUGAUCUGUAGUUCUCACUUGAAAAAGCACAGUCCUGAUUAAACAAGUUUUAGUUCAUUGCACUUUGACCAAGUAGCCUAUGUCCUGUAACAUGUCUGAAAAUUGAAUGUUUCAAAAGCUAAAAGUGUGCAUUGUGUUUUUUUCCUUUUGGUUAUAUUUAUAAAUAUGGUAACACAGAUUUCUAGGCUCAUGAGAGGGAAUGUCUGAGUGAAAGAUGUAAUGUGGAACAGGCAGGCUUUCUUCUGUGUACAGGAUUGAAGCCAGCGCCAACCAACUGGACAGUUUCCAGAUUGUAUAAAAGAAAGCAGUAGGUGAGUUGAAUCCCUCUAUACUUCUAUAUCUGAAGACAGAAAUCUACUUGGAGUUAGAUUUCAUACACAUUUGGGUCCAUUAGAUUUGGGAAUAAAUAUAUUUUGUGUAAUCUGAUGUUCCCAGCAAAGAGAUUUAGAUUUCUUGAGAGAGACUACAA
Long non-coding RNA from Sander lucioperca (pikeperch), 872 nucleotides. RefSeq lists it as uncharacterized. Lineage: Eukaryota; Metazoa; Chordata; Actinopteri; Perciformes; Percidae. The transcript is spliced from 2 exons. The record is from RefSeq and is a predicted model, not a curated record.